This 524-nucleotide long non-coding RNA is filed under the name Panax ginseng (ginseng). RNAcentral's name for it is "long non-coding RNA (PGIN_LNC003931)". Lineage: Eukaryota; Viridiplantae; Streptophyta; Magnoliopsida; Apiales; Araliaceae. The record is from RNAcentral.
UAGAUGGUAAUUUUAUCAUUUACCAAUUACUUCUAUCCUUUGGUAAAUUAAAACUUUUAUACAUUAACAUCGUAAUUAAACCCGAUAAUUUUAAAUUAGGGUUUUCUAAUUAGGGUUUCUUAACGCCAUCAAUUAGGGUUUCUAAUUGACCAUUAGGGUUCUCUAAUUAUCUGUGUAUGUUCUAACACAGUCAUUACAAUCUCUAACUUCAACCGAUUAGGGUUGUAAUAAUUAGGGUUUGUCCUAAUUAUCGACAUCUUAUACACAGUAACCUUCAUAUACACAGUCACUACUCAGUCAUAUCUCAUAACUGAGUUUAAUAAUUAGGGUUUCAAAGCACAGUACUGUGUUAUGACCUAAUUGACCGUCAUUACUUAAUAUUAUCUGUCCGCACAUACACAGUACAUAAUUAUUGUACUGUAAAAAUCAUUAUAACAAUAAUAUAAUAUUAUUAUUCUCAUCUCUUGAUCACAAUCCCAAUUCAGGGUUUGGAUCUCAUAUCUAACUUAUUCUUCGUACACAAC